UGCAGUCGACGCUGAAGCCGACAGCUUGCUGUUGGUAGAUGAGUGGCGAACGGGUGAGUAACACGUGAGUAACCUGCCCCUGAUUUCGGGAUAAGCCUGGGAAACUGGGUCUAAUACCGGAUACGACCUUUCCUCGCAUGAGGGUUGGUGGAAAGUUUUUCGAUCGGGGAUGGGCUCGCGGCCUAUCAGCUUGUUGGUGGGGUAAUGGCCUACCAAGGCGACGACGGGUAGCCGGCCUGAGAGGGCGACCGGCCACACUGGGACUGAGACACGGCCCAGACUCCUACGGGAGGCAGCAGUGGGGAAUAUUGCACAAUGGGGGAAACCCUGAUGCAGCGACGCAGCGUGCGGGAUGACGGCCUUCGGGUUGUAAACCGCUUUCAGCAGGGAAGAAGCGAAAGUGACGGUACCUGCAGAAGAAGUACCGGCUAACUACGUGCCAGCAGCCGCGGUAAUACGUAGGGUACGAGCGUUGUCCGGAAUUAUUGGGCGUAAAGAGCUCGUAGGUGGUUGGUCACGUCUGCUGUGGAAACGCAACGCUUAACGUUGCGCGUGCAGUGGGUACGGGCUGACUAGAGUGCAGUAGGGGAGUCUGGAAUUCCUGGUGUAGCGGUGAAAUGCGCAGAUAUCAGGAGGAACACCGGUGGCGAAGGCGGGACUCUGGGCUGUAACUGACACUGAGGAGCGAAAGCAUGGGGAGCGAACAGGAUUAGAUACCCUGGUAGUCCAUGCCGUAAACGUUGGGCACUAGGUGUGGGGGACAUUCCACGUUCUCCG
This 777-nucleotide ribosomal RNA is filed under the name Brevibacterium sediminis. RNAcentral describes it as "bacterial SSU rRNA". It matches the Rfam family "Bacterial small subunit ribosomal RNA", at positions 56 to 843 of the family's 1533-position model. The record is from RNAcentral. Lineage: Bacteria; Bacillati; Actinomycetota; Actinomycetes; Micrococcales; Brevibacteriaceae.